This is a non-coding RNA of Phycodurus eques (leafy seadragon), 84 nucleotides long. Lineage: Eukaryota; Metazoa; Chordata; Actinopteri; Syngnathiformes; Syngnathidae. The record is from the annotation of a RefSeq genome assembly.
GGUAGUGUGGCUGAGCGGUCCAAAGCGCUGGAUUUAGGCUCCAGUCUGUCAGGAGGCGUGGGUUCAAAUCCCACCACAGCUCCU